CGUACUGAGACACGGACCAGACUCCUACGGGAGGCAGCAGUGGGGAAUAUUGGGCAAUGGAGGAAACUCUGACCCAGCGACGCCGCGUGAGGGAUGAAGGCCUUCGGGUUGUAAACCUCUUUCAGUAGGGAAGAAGCGAAAGUGACGGUACCUACAGAAGAAGCACCGGCUAACUAUGUGCCAGCAGCCGCGGUAAUACAUAGGGUGCAAGCGUUGUCCGGAAUUAUUGGGCGUAAAGAGCUCGUAGGUGGUUCGAUACGUCGGAUGUGAAAAUCAGGGGCUCAACCCCUGACCUGCAUCCGAUACGGUCGAGCUAGAGUUUGGUAGGGGAGACUGGAAUUCCUGGUGUAGCGGUGGAAUGCGCAGAUAUCAGGAGGAACACCGAUGGCGAAGGCAGGUCUCUGGGCCAAUACUGACACUGAGGAGCGAAAGCGUGGGGAGCGAACAGGAUUAGAUACCCUGGUAGUCCACGCCGUAAACGGUGGGCGCUAGUUGUGCGAACCUUCCACGGUUUGUGCGACGCAGCUAACGCAUUAAGCGCCCCGCCUGGGGAGUACGAUCGCAAGAUUAAAACUCAAAGGAAUUGACGG
This 590-nucleotide ribosomal RNA is filed under the name uncultured Actinomycetes bacterium. Its description in RNAcentral is "bacterial SSU rRNA". It matches the Rfam family "Bacterial small subunit ribosomal RNA", at positions 315 to 916 of the family's 1533-position model. Lineage: Bacteria; Bacillati; Actinomycetota; Actinomycetes. The record is from RNAcentral.